This 571-nucleotide ribosomal RNA is filed under the name Bacillus sp. G4O4(B). Its description in RNAcentral is "bacterial SSU rRNA". It matches the Rfam family "Bacterial small subunit ribosomal RNA", at positions 63 to 616 of the family's 1533-position model. The record is from RNAcentral. Lineage: Bacteria; Bacillati; Bacillota; Bacilli; Caryophanales; Bacillaceae.
CGAGCGGACAGAUGGGAGCUUGCUCCCUGAUGUUAGCGGCGGACGGGUGAGUAACACGUGGGUAACCUGCCUGUAAGACUGGGAUAACUCCGGGAAACCGGGGCUAAUACCGGAUGGUUGUUUGAACCGCAUGGUUCAGACAUAAAAGGUGGCUUCGGCUACCACUUACAGAUGGACCCGCGGCGCAUUAGCUAGUUGGUGAGGUAACGGCUCACCAAGGCGACGAUGCGUAGCCGACCUGAGAGGGUGAUCGGCCACACUGGGACUGAGACACGGCCCAGACUCCUACGGGAGGCAGCAGUAGGGAAUCUUCCGCAAUGGACGAAAGUCUGACGGAGCAACGCCGCGUGAGUGAUGAAGGUUUUCGGAUCGUAAAGCUCUGUUGUUAGGGAAGAACAAGUGCCGUUCAAAUAGGGCGGCACCUUGACGGUACCUAACCAGAAAGCCACGGCUAACUACGUGCCAGCAGCCGCGGUAAUACGUAGGUGGCAAGCGUUGUCCGAAAUUAUUGGGCGUAAAGGGCUCGCAGGCGGUUUCUUAAGUCUGAUGUGAAAGCCCCCGGUUCAACCGG